This 253-nucleotide ribosomal RNA is filed under the name bacterium. RNAcentral describes it as "partial 16S ribosomal RNA". It matches the Rfam family "Bacterial small subunit ribosomal RNA", at positions 524 to 776 of the family's 1533-position model. The record is from RNAcentral. RNAcentral also lists the same sequence under 1 other name.
UACGGAGGGUGCGAGCGUUAAUCGGAAUGACUGGGCGUAAAGGGUGCGUAGGUGGUUUAUUAAGUUGUUGGUGAAAUCUCCGGGCUUAACCUGGGGUUGACGAAUAAAACUGGUAGACUCGAGUAUAGGAGAGGGUAGUGGAAUUUCCGGUGUAGCGGUGAAAUGCGUAGAGAUCGGAAGGAACACCAGUUGCGAAGGCGGCUACCUGGCCUGGUACUGACACUGAGGCACGAAAGCGUGGGGAGCAAACAGG